RNAcentral lists this ribosomal RNA (516 nucleotides) under uncultured bacterium. RNAcentral's name for it is "bacterial SSU rRNA". It matches the Rfam family "Bacterial small subunit ribosomal RNA", at positions 15 to 518 of the family's 1533-position model. The record is from RNAcentral.
GAUUAUGGCUCAGAGUGAACGCUGGCGGUAGGCCUAACACAUGCAAGUCGAACGGCAGCACAGGAGAGCUUGCUCUCUGGGUGGCGAGUGGCGGACGGGUGAGGAAUACAUCGGAAUCUACUCUGUCGUGGGGGAUAACGUAGGGAAACUUACGCUAAUACCGCAUACGACCUAAGGGUGAAAGUGGGGGACCGCAAGGCCUCACGCGAUUGAAUGAGCCGAUGUCGGAUUAGCUAGUUGGCGGGGUAAAGGCCCACCAAGGCGACGAUCCGUAGCUGGUCUGAGAAGAUGAUCAGCCACACUGGAACUGAGACACGGUCCAGACUCCUACGGGAGGCAGCAGUGGGGAAUAUUGGACAAUGGGCGCAAGCCUGAUCCAGCCAUAACCCGCGUGAGUGAAGAAGGCCCUCGGGUUGUAAAGCUCUUUUGUUGGGAAAGAAAUCCUGUUGGUUAAUACCCGGCAGGGAUGACGGUACCCAAAGAAUAAGCACCGGCUAACUUCGUGCCAGCAGCUGC